GACGAACGCUGGCGGCGUGCUUAACACAUGCAAGUCGAACGGAAAGGCCCCUUUGGGGGUCCUCGAGUGGCGAACGGGUGAGUAACACGUGAGUAACCUGCCCUUGACUUCGGGAUAACUUCAGGAAACUGGGGCUAAUACCGGAUAGGAAUCCUUUCUGCAUGGUGGGGGUUGGAAAGCUUCGGCGGUUUUGGAUGGACUCGCGGCGUAUCAGCUUGUUGGUGGGGUAGUGGCUUACCAAGGCUUCGUCGGGUAGCCGGCCUGAGAGGGCGACCGGCCACAUUGGGACUGAGAUACGGCCCAGACACCGACUGGUGGCAGCAGGGGGGAAUAUUGCACAAUGGGCGGAGGCCUGAUGCAGCAACGCCGCGUGCGGGAGGACGGCCUUCGGGUGGUAAACCGCAUUCAGCAGGGGCGAAGCUUGUGGUGACGGUACCUGAAGAAGAAGCACCGGCUAACUACGUG
RNAcentral lists this ribosomal RNA (465 nucleotides) under uncultured bacterium. RNAcentral's name for it is "partial 16S ribosomal RNA". It matches the Rfam family "Bacterial small subunit ribosomal RNA", at positions 28 to 507 of the family's 1533-position model. The record is from RNAcentral.